Molecule: small nuclear RNA, 53 nt
Gene: U7
Rfam family: U7 small nuclear RNA
About the family: Animal histone pre-mRNAs are spliced by a different mechanism than nuclear pre-mRNAs and self-splicing introns.
Source: Ensembl
AAAUGUGCUCUUUUAGUUUUUCUCCAGUAGGUUUUUUCAAGGAGAAAGCCCCA